GCAAAACGCGAAGAACCUUACCCGGGCUUGAAAGUUACUGAAUUAUCUAGAGAUAGAUAAGUCCUCGGACGAGGAAACUAAGGUGCUGCAUGGCUGUCGUCAGCUCGUGCCGUGAGGCGUUGGUUAAGUCCGCACGAGCGCACCCUACUGUUUAGUUGCCAGCAUGUAAUGGUGGGACUCUAAACAGACUGCCUGCGUAAGCAGAGAGGAAGGUGGGGACGACGUCAAGUCAUCAUGGCCCUUACGUCCGGGGCUACACACGUGCUACAAUGGAUGGUACAGCGGGCAGCUACCUUGUAAGAGGAUGCUAAUCUCGAAAAAGCCAUUCACAGUUCGGAUUGAGGUCUGCAACUCGACCUCAUGAAGUUGGAUUCGCUAGUAAUCGCGUAUCAGCAAUGACGCGGUGAAUACGUUCCCGGGUCUUGUACACACCG
Molecule: ribosomal RNA, 434 nt
Filed under: uncultured bacterium
Lineage: Bacteria
Description: bacterial SSU rRNA
Rfam family: Bacterial small subunit ribosomal RNA
Source: RNAcentral